GAUGAACGCUGGCGGCGUGCCUAACACAUGCAAGUCGAGCGAGAAUUAACGGACUAGAGACUUCGGUCAAAGGAAAGUUGAGGAAAGCGGCGGACGGGUGAGUAACGCGUGGGCAACCUGCCCCAUACUAAGGGAUAGCCACUGGAAACGGUGAUUAAUACCCUAUAAAGCUGUAGGAUCGCAUGAUCUAAUAGCCAAAGAUUAUAUCGGUAUGGGAUGGGCCCGCGUCUGAUUAGCUAGUUGGUGAGGUAAUGGCUCACCAAGGCUUCGAUCAGUAGCCGACCUGAGAGGGUGAUCGGCCACACUGGAACUGAGACACGGUCCAGACUCCUACGGGAGGCAG
Molecule: ribosomal RNA, 343 nt
Filed under: uncultured Bacillota bacterium
Lineage: Bacteria; Bacillati; Bacillota
Description: bacterial SSU rRNA
Rfam family: Bacterial small subunit ribosomal RNA
Source: RNAcentral